CGUGGGUAACCUGCCUCAGUACAGGGGGAUAGCAGUUGGAAACGACUGACUAAUACCGCAUAAGCGACACAGUACCGCUAUGGUACAGUAGUGAAAAAACUCCGGUGGUAUGAGAGUCGGACCCGCGUCUGAUUAGCUUGUUGGCGGGGUAACGGCCCACCAAGGCGACGAUCAGUAGCCGGCCUGAGAGGGUGAACGGCCACAUUGGGACUGAGACACGGCCCAAACUCCUACGGGAGGCAGCAGUGGGGAAUAUUGCACAAGUGGGGAAACCCUGAUGCAGCCGACGCCGCGUGAAGGAUGAAGUAUUUCGGUAUGUAAACUUCUAUCAGCAGGGAAGAUGAUGACGGUACCUGACUAAGAACGCCCCGGCUAACUACGUGCCAGCCGCUGC
RNAcentral lists this ribosomal RNA (394 nucleotides) under uncultured bacterium. Its description in RNAcentral is "bacterial SSU rRNA". It matches the Rfam family "Bacterial small subunit ribosomal RNA", at positions 116 to 518 of the family's 1533-position model. The record is from RNAcentral.